RNAcentral lists this ribosomal RNA (253 nucleotides) under uncultured bacterium. RNAcentral's name for it is "partial 16S ribosomal RNA". It matches the Rfam family "Bacterial small subunit ribosomal RNA", at positions 524 to 776 of the family's 1533-position model. The record is from RNAcentral.
UACGUAGGGUGCAAGCGUUGUCCGGAAUUAUUGGGCGUAAAGAGCUCGUAGGCGGUCUGUCGCGUCGGCUGUGAAAACCCGGGGCUCAACCCCGGGCCUGCAGUCGAUACGGGCAGACUAGAGUGUGGUAGGGGAGACUGGAAUUCCUGGUGUAGCGGUGAAAUGCGCAGAUGUCAGGAGGAACACCGGUGGCGAAGGCGGGUCUCUGGGCCGAUAUUGACGCUGAGGAGCGAAAGCGUGGGGAGCGAACAGG